UAGGGACGAAGCGAAAGUGACGGUACCUACAGAAGAAGGACCGGCCCAACUACGUGCCAGCAGCCGCGGUAAUACGUAGGGUCCGAGCGUUGUCCGGAAUUACUGGGCGUAAAGAGCUCGUAGGUGGUUUGUCGCGUUGUUCGUGAAAAUUCACAGCUUAACUGUGGACGUGCGGGCGAUACGGGCAGACUAGAGUACUGCAGGGGAGACUGGAAUUCCUGGUGUAGCGGUGGAAUGCGCAGAUAUCAGGAGGAACACCGGUGGCGAAGGCGGGUCUCUGGGCAGUAACUGACGCUGAGGAGCGAAAGCGUGGGGAGCGAACAGGAUUAGAUACCCUGGUAGUCCACGCCGUAAACGGUGGGUACUAGGUGUGGGUUCCUUCCUUGGGAUCCGUGCCGCAGCUAACGCAUUAAGUACCCCGCCUGGGGAGUACGGCCGCAAGGCUAAAACUCAAAGGAAUUGACGGGGGCCCGCACAAGCGGCGGAGCAUGUGGAUUAAUUCGAUGCAACGCGAAGAACCUUACCUGGGUUUGACAUGCACAGGACGCCAGUAGAGAUAUUGGUUCCCUUGUGGCCUGUGUGCAGGUGGUGCAUGGCUGUCGUCAGCUCGUGUCGUGAGAUGUUGGGUUAAGUCCCGCAACGAGCGCAACCCUUGUCCUAUGUUGCCAGCGGGUUAUGCCGGGGACUCGUAGGAGACUGCCGGGGUCAACUCGGAGGAAGGUGGGGAUGACGUCAAGUCAUCAUGCCCCUUAUGUCCAGGGCUUCACACAUGCUACAAUGGCCGGUACAAAGGGCUGCGAUGCCGUGAGGUGGAGCGAAUCCUUUCAAAGCCGGUCUCAGUUCGGAUCGGGGUCUGCAACUCGACCCCGUGAAGUCGGAGUCGCUAGUAAUCGCAGAUCAGCAACGCUGCGGUGAAUACGUUCCCGGGCCUUGUACACACCGCCCGUCACGUCAUGAAAGUCGGUAACACCCGA
This 974-nucleotide ribosomal RNA is filed under the name Mycobacterium sp. RNAcentral describes it as "bacterial SSU rRNA". It matches the Rfam family "Bacterial small subunit ribosomal RNA", at positions 440 to 1424 of the family's 1533-position model. Lineage: Bacteria; Bacillati; Actinomycetota; Actinomycetes; Mycobacteriales; Mycobacteriaceae. The record is from RNAcentral.